CACCUGGGAAGUCCUCGUGUUGCACGCC
Molecule: ribosomal RNA, 28 nt
Filed under: Platanus occidentalis var. occidentalis
Lineage: Eukaryota; Viridiplantae; Streptophyta; Magnoliopsida; Proteales; Platanaceae
Source: RNAcentral